This is an RNA transcript of Equus caballus (horse), 1036 nucleotides long. It is a transcript of the gene named methylthioadenosine phosphorylase pseudogene, with no coding region annotated. The record is from RefSeq and is marked provisional. NCBI's taxonomy places the organism in Eukaryota, Metazoa, Chordata, Mammalia, Perissodactyla, Equidae.
AUGGUGCUCAAAUCUGGCUGCACACUGGAACCACCUGGGGACCUUGAAGAAAACGAACUCUGCCUUGCCCAGUUAAUGAGAUUCUCUGGAGUCUGGGCCCUGGGCUUUGGUAUUGACAGCAUCCUGGGGGAUUCUAGAAUCCAGCAGAGGACCCAGGAGGAGCACCGGGAGGAACCUGCCGCUGAUCCACAAGCCAAGGAGAGCUCUACAGAUUACAAUUGGAAUCAUCGGCGGAACAGGCUUGGAUGAUUCAGAAAUCUUAGAAGGAAGAACUGAAAAAUAUGUGGAUACUCCGUUUGGCAAGCCUUCUGAUGCCUUAAUUUUGGGGAAGAUAAAGAAUGUUGACUGCAUUCUCCUUGCACGGCACGGGAGGCAGCAUAGCAUCAUGCCCUCAGAAGUCAACUACCGGGCGAACAUCUGGGCUCUGAAGGAGGAGGGCUGCACACACGUCAUCGUCACCACCGCCUGCGGUUCCUUGAGGGAGGAGAUUCGGCCCGGAGACAUCGUCAUUAUCGACCAGUUCAUCGACAGGACCACCAAGAGACCUCAGACCUUCUAUGACGGAACUUCCCCCUGUGCCAGAGGAGUGUGCCAUAUUCCAGCAGCUGACCCAUUCUGCCCCAAAACCAGACAGGUCCUCUUAGAGAAUGCUAAGAAGCUAGGACUCCGGUGCCACUCGAAAGGGACAAUGGUCACAAUCGAGGGACCUCGUUUUAGCUCCCGGGCAGAAAGCUUCAUGUUCCGCGCCUGGGGGGCGGAUGUUAUCAACAUGACCACAGUUCCAGAGGCGGUCCUUGCUAAGGAGGCUGGAAUUUGCUAUGCCAGCAUCGCCUUGGCAACAGAUUAUGAUUGCUGGAAGGAGAAUGAGGAAGAGGUUUCAGUGGACCGGGUUUUAAAGAUUCUGAAAGAAAAUGGCAAUAAAGCCAAAAGUUUACUCCUCAGUACCAUACCCCAGAUAGGGUCCAUGGAAUGGUCAGAGACUCUUCGUACUCUGAAGGAUAUGGCCCAGUUUUCUGUCUUAUUACCAAAACAUUAA